CGGACCGGCGCACGGGUGAGUAACACGUAUCCAACCUGCCGUCUACUCUUGGACAGCCUUCUGAAAGGAAGAUUAAUACAAGAUGGCAUCAUGAGUCCGCAUGUUCACAUGAUUAAAGGUAUUCCGGUAGACGAUGGGGGAUGCGUUCCAUUAGGUUGUUGGCGGGGUAACGGCCCACCAAGCCUUCGAUGGAUAGGGGUUCUGAGAGGAAGGUCCCCCACAUUGGAACUGAGACACGGUCCAAACUCCUACGGGAGGCAGCAUG
RNAcentral lists this ribosomal RNA (265 nucleotides) under uncultured bacterium. RNAcentral describes it as "partial 16S ribosomal RNA". It matches the Rfam family "Bacterial small subunit ribosomal RNA", at positions 91 to 353 of the family's 1533-position model. The record is from RNAcentral.